GAUGAACGCUGGCGGCGUGCCUAAUACAUGCAAGUCGAACGAGUUCUGAUUAUUGAAAGGUGCUUGCAUCUUGAUUUUAAUUUUGAACGAGUGGCGGACGGGUGAGUAACACGUGGGUAACCUGCCCUUAAGUGGGGGAUAACAUUUGGAAACAGAUGCUAAUACCGCAUAAAUCCAAGAACCGCAUGGUUCUUGGCUGAAAGAUGGCGUAAGCUAUCGCUUUUGGAUGGACCCGCGGCGUAUUAGCUAGUUGGUGAGGUAACGGCUCACCAAGGCAAUGAUACGUAGCCGAACUGAGAGGUUGAUCGGCCACAUUGGGACUGAGACACGGCCCAAACUCCUACGGGAGGCAGCAGUAGGGAAUCUUCCACAAUGGACGCAAGUCUGAUGGAGCAACGCCGCGUGAGUGAAGAAGGCUUUCGGGUCGUAAAACUCUGUUGUGGAGAAGAAUGGUCGGCAGAGUAACUGUGUCG
RNAcentral lists this ribosomal RNA (473 nucleotides) under Lacticaseibacillus rhamnosus. RNAcentral's name for it is "bacterial SSU rRNA". It matches the Rfam family "Bacterial small subunit ribosomal RNA", at positions 28 to 474 of the family's 1533-position model. The record is from RNAcentral. Lineage: Bacteria; Bacillati; Bacillota; Bacilli; Lactobacillales; Lactobacillaceae.